Molecule: long non-coding RNA, 512 nt
Filed under: Heterocephalus glaber (naked mole-rat)
Lineage: Eukaryota; Metazoa; Chordata; Mammalia; Rodentia; Bathyergidae
Description: lncRNA (ENSHGLG00000049710.1)
Source: RNAcentral
AGACUGUACAGACAGAUUGAUGUUGGGAACAUAUUCAGGAUAGGAAGAGCCUGAAUGUAAAUCAGAGCACAUUAAUGAUGAUGAGCAGGGUGUCUCUAAGAGAUUCUCAGCAGAAAAUGUCACCUCCUACAAAGAAAGAUUUUCGCCAUGUUUUCCUGAUGGACUAAUAGUUGGAAGAAAGAAAGGAGGAUGAUAUUCUACUGCGAUGGUGCUGCUGCCUCUGAAAUGGCUAGAAUCAUUUCAGGCACCAUCAUAGCUAAGGCACAGCUGUUUAUUCUGAGCUAAUUGGAGCAGAGUUAAAACCAAGAGAAGUAAACUGCAAGAAAGUAAAGUUUGAGAAGAAAGAGGAUAACCUCUUCAGUGAACAAAUGUCAAGCAUACGGUACAGCAUAGGAUGCAAUACAAGCUUUCCUGUGCCCCUCUUCAGGGGAAAGGAACUGAGCUCUUGCUGCACUGAAAUUCCUGGAAGCAUCCUGAACCACCUACUGGUAAUCUAUGAAAAUAUUGUGCUG